ACAAUGAGCAGUGUAUGCUAUUUGCACCCCUGGUACAAUUAGCAGUGUAUGCUAUUCGUACCCUGGUGCAAUUAGAAAUGAAUGCUAUUCGUACCCCGCCGGUGCACACAGCAAUGUGUUCUAUUAAUACCCCGUCUGGUACAAAUAUCAAUGUAUGCUAUUUGCACCCCUGUGCAUUUACAGUACCUUGGCAUAUAUUUACACACAGUUAUCC
Sander lucioperca (pikeperch) is the source of this 214-nucleotide long non-coding RNA. RefSeq lists it as uncharacterized. Lineage: Eukaryota; Metazoa; Chordata; Actinopteri; Perciformes; Percidae. The transcript is spliced from 3 exons. The record is from RefSeq and is a predicted model, not a curated record.